CUCUUGUAAAAUAACUUGUACUUUGAAACAGUGAACUAAUACUGCAUAUAUUUUAAUUUAUUCAUAGAUUUGUUUAUUUUAAAGUGGUUUUGUGUUGCAACGUGUGAUGAUCUAAUCAACAAUUAGAUCAUUUGUGACAGUCAGUUAAAAUUUGUGACUAUCGGAAGACAAAGCGUCGUACUCCAUGCUCUUGCCAGGUCGCCCGCUAUCGCCGCGAGGAAGAAUUUCAAUUAGGCCACGGGAAUAGGGAUAGCCCAGGAUUCAGAGGACAAAAAAAGUGAGCCCGUAGAACGAAUUUUACAUUAUAAUCUCUUCCGAAAAAUCGGACUCGUGGGAAUGACGAAGCCUAUUGAUCACCGGAGGUGAUUUUAUCCAUCUAAAUCAUCCAGUAACGUUUGACGAUCCUCUACUUCCGGUCACCGCCUCGAUAUCCUCCCAGGCUUUACAACAACC
Molecule: long non-coding RNA, 453 nt
Organism: Dufourea novaeangliae
Lineage: Eukaryota; Metazoa; Arthropoda; Insecta; Hymenoptera; Halictidae
Exons: 3
Source: RefSeq, a predicted model, not a curated record